GUAGGGGGCUAGCGUUGUCCGGAUUCAUUGGGCGUAAAGAGCGUGUAGGCGGCCAGGUAGGUCAGCUGUGAAAACUGGAGGCUCAACCUUCAGACGUCGGCUGAAACCAUCUGGCUAGAGUCCGGGAGAGGAGAGUGGAAUUCCUGGUGUAGCGGUGAAAUGCGCAGAUAUCAGGAAGAACACCCGUGGCGAAAGCGGCUCUCUGGAACGGUACUGACGCUGAGACGCGAAAGCGUGGGGAGCGAACAGGAUUAGAUACCCUGGUAGUCCACGCCGUAAACGAUGGGCGCUAGGUGUGGGAGGUGUCGACUCCUUCCGUGCCGAAGCUAACGCAUUAAGCGCCCCGCCUGGGGAGUACGGCCGCAAGGCUAAA
This 373-nucleotide ribosomal RNA is filed under the name uncultured bacterium. RNAcentral describes it as "bacterial SSU rRNA". It matches the Rfam family "Bacterial small subunit ribosomal RNA", at positions 527 to 898 of the family's 1533-position model. The record is from RNAcentral.